This 465-nucleotide ribosomal RNA is filed under the name uncultured Klebsiella sp. RNAcentral's name for it is "bacterial SSU rRNA". It matches the Rfam family "Bacterial small subunit ribosomal RNA", at positions 338 to 795 of the family's 1533-position model. The record is from RNAcentral. Lineage: Bacteria; Pseudomonadati; Pseudomonadota; Gammaproteobacteria; Enterobacterales; Enterobacteriaceae.
CCUACGGGUGGCUGCAGUGGGGAAUAUUGCACAAUGGGCGCAAGCCUGAUGCAGCCAUGCCGCGUGUGUGAAGAAGGCCUUCGGGUUGUAAAGCACUUUCAGCGGGGAGGAAGGCGGUGAGGUUAAUAACCUCAUCGAUUGACGUUACCCGCAGAAGAAGCACCGGCUAACUCCGUGCCAGCAGCCGCGGUAAUACGGAGGGUGCAAGCGUUAAUCGGAAUUACUGGGCGUAAAGCGCACGCAGGCGGUCUGUCAAGUCGGAUGUGAAAUCCCCGGGCUCAACCUGGGAACCGCAUUCGAAACUGGCAGGCUAGAGUCUUGUAGAGGGGGGUAGAAUUCCAGGUGUAGCGGUGAAAUGCGUAGAGAUCUGGAGGAAUACCGGUGGCGAAGGCGGCCCCCUGGACAAAGACUGACGCUCAGGUGCGAAAGCGUGGGGAGCAAACAGGAUUAGAUACCCGAGUAGUC